Peptostreptococcaceae bacterium oral taxon 113 is the source of this 171-nucleotide non-coding RNA. The record is from Rfam. NCBI's taxonomy places the organism in Bacteria, Bacillati, Bacillota, Clostridia, Peptostreptococcales, Peptostreptococcaceae.
CAAGUCGUGAGGCUUGGGCGAGAAGAAGGGAUAGCGAAAUCGUAGCCUGACGAACAGAAACCUAAUACCAAGGCACAUAUGGCGGAUAAGUGGGCUGACAGUCACGAAGUCCAAAAGGCAAUCGUAACCUAUAUGUGUAGAUUAGGCAGGUAGACGAGGAAAGAGGGACGA